This 347-nucleotide ribosomal RNA is filed under the name uncultured bacterium. Its description in RNAcentral is "bacterial SSU rRNA". It matches the Rfam family "Bacterial small subunit ribosomal RNA", at positions 32 to 369 of the family's 1533-position model. The record is from RNAcentral.
AAUCAACGCUGGCGGCGUGCCUCAGACAUGCAAGUCGAACGAUUAAAGCUCUCUUCGGAGAGUGCAUAGAGUGGCGCACGGGUGAGUAACACGUAAGUAAUCUACCUUCGAGUGGGGAAUAACGUCCGGAAACGGACGCUAAUACCGCAUAAUGCAGCGGCAUCGCAAGAUGACAGUUGUUAAAGGAGCAAUUCGCUUGAAGAGGAGCUUGCGGCAGAUUAGCUAGUUGGUAAGGUAAUGGCUUACCAAGGCUACGAUCUGUAACCGGUCUAAGAGGACGGUCGGUCACACUGACACUGAAUAACGGGUCAGACUCCUACGGGAGGCAGCAGUCGGGAAUUUUGGGC